UACAGAGGGUGCGAGCGUUAAUCGGAAUUACUGGGCGUAAAGCGCACGUAGGCGGCUUGGUAUGUCGGGUGUGAAAUCCCCGGGCUCAACCUGGGAACUGCAUUUGUGACUGCACAGCUUGAGUGCGGCAGAGGGGGAUGGAAUUCCGCGUGUAGCAGUGAAAUGCGUAGAUAUGCGGAGGAACACCGAUGGCGAAGGCAAUCCCCUGGGCCUGCACUGACGCUCAUGCACGAAAGCGUGGGGAGCAAACAGG
This 253-nucleotide ribosomal RNA is filed under the name uncultured bacterium. Its description in RNAcentral is "partial 16S ribosomal RNA". It matches the Rfam family "Bacterial small subunit ribosomal RNA", at positions 524 to 776 of the family's 1533-position model. The record is from RNAcentral.